AUUGAACGCUGGCGGAAUGCUUUACACAUGCAAGUCGAACGGCAGCACGGACUUCGGUCUGGUGGCGAGUGGCGAACGGGUGAGUAAUAUAUCGGAACGUGCCCAGUCGUGGGGGAUAACGUAGCGAAAGUUACGCUAAUACCGCAUACGAUCUAAGGAUGAAAGCGGGGGAUCGCAAGACCUCGCGCGAUUGGAGCGGCCGAUAUCAGAUUAGGUAGUUGGUGGGGUAAAGGCUCACCAAGCCAACGAUCUGUAGCUGGUCUGAGAGGACGACCAGCCACACUGGAACUGAGACACGGUCCAGACUCCUACGGGAGGCAGCAGUGGGGAAUUUUGGACAAUGGACGCAAGUCUGAUCCAGCCAUUCCGCGUGCAGGAUGAAGGCCCUCGGGUUGUAAACUGCUUUUGUACGGAACGAAAAGGUCUCUCUUAGUACGGGGGGCUCAUGACGGUACUGUAAGAAUAAGCACCGGCUAACUACGUGCCAGCCGCCGCCGUAA
RNAcentral lists this ribosomal RNA (500 nucleotides) under uncultured bacterium. RNAcentral describes it as "partial 16S ribosomal RNA". It matches the Rfam family "Bacterial small subunit ribosomal RNA", at positions 30 to 523 of the family's 1533-position model. The record is from RNAcentral.